GAUGAGCCCGCACUUGAUUAGCUAGUUGGUAAGGUAAAAGCUUACCAAGGCAACGAUCAAUAGCUGUUCUUAGAGGAAGACCAGCCACAUUGGGACUGAGACAC
Molecule: ribosomal RNA, 104 nt
Filed under: uncultured bacterium
Lineage: Bacteria
Description: partial 16S ribosomal RNA
Rfam family: Bacterial small subunit ribosomal RNA
Source: RNAcentral